This is an RNA transcript of Rhinolophus ferrumequinum (greater horseshoe bat), 2905 nucleotides long. It is a transcript of the gene named heat shock protein HSP 90-alpha-like, with no coding region annotated. The transcript has a single exon. Lineage: Eukaryota; Metazoa; Chordata; Mammalia; Chiroptera; Rhinolophidae. The record is from RefSeq and is a predicted model, not a curated record.
UGCUUCUGCGUCCGGUUGCUGCGCAGCUCCUGCGGUCCUUUAGCCAAGAUGCCUGAGGAAACCCAGACCCAAGACCAGCCAAUGGAGGAGGAGGAGAUUGAGACGUUUGCCUUUCAGGCAGAAAUUGCCCAGUUGAUGUCAUUGAUCAUCAAUACUUUCUACUCGAAUAAAGAGAUCUUUCUGAGGGAGCUUAUUUCAAAUUCAUCAGAUGCUCUGGACAAAAUCAGAUAUGAAAGCUUGACAGAUCCCAGUAAACUAGACUCCGGGAAAGAGCUGCACAUAAACCUCAUUCCAAACAAACAGGAUCGAACCCUCACUAUUGUGGAUACUGGAAUAGGAAUGACCAAGGCUGAUCUGAUCAAUAACCUUGGUACUAUUGCCAAAUCUGGUACCAAAGCAUUCAUGGAAGCUUUGCAGGCUGGUGCAGAUAUCUCUAUGAUCGGCCAGUUCGGUGUUGGCUUUUACUCAGCGUAUUUGGUUGCCGAGAAAGUGAUCGUGAUCACCAAACAUAACGAUGACGAGCAGUAUGCCUGGGAGUCUUCUGCAGGAGGUUCAUUCACAGUCAGGACUGACACAGGGGAACCUAUGGGUCGUGGAACAAAGGUUGUUUUGCACCUGAAAGAAGACCAGACUGAAUACUUGGAGGAGAGAAGAAUAAAGGAGAUUGUGAAGAAACACUCUCAGUUUAUUGGCUACCCCAUUACUCUUUUUGUGGAGAAGGAACGUGAUAAAGAAGUCAGUGACGAUGAGGCUGAAGAAAAGGAAGACAAAGAGGAAGAGAAAGAAAAGGAAGAAAAGGAGUCUGACGACAAACCUGAGAUAGAAGAUGUUGGUUCUGAUGAAGAAGAAGAAGAAAAGAAGGAUGGUGACAAGAAGAAGAAGAAGAAGAUCAAGGAGAAGUACAUUGACCAAGAAGAACUGAAUAAGACAAAGCCUAUUUGGACCAGAAAUCCUGACGACAUUAGUAACGAAGAGUAUGGGGAAUUCUACAAGAGCCUGACUAACGAUUGGGAGGAUCACUUGGCAGUGAAGCAUUUUUCAGUUGAAGGACAGUUGGAAUUCCGAGCCCUUCUUUUUGUCCCAAGACGUGCUCCCUUUGAUCUCUUUGAAAACAGAAAGAAGAAGAACAACAUUAAGUUGUAUGUUCGCAGAGUUUUCAUCAUGGACAAUUGCGAGGAGCUAAUCCCUGAAUACCUGAAUUUCAUCAGAGGUGUUGUGGAUUCUGAGGACCUCCCUCUCAAUAUUUCCUGGGAGAUGUUGCAACAAAGCAAAAUUCUGAAAGUUAUCAGAAAGAAUUUGGUCAAAAAGUGUUUAGAACUUUUCACUGAACUGGCAGAAGAUAAAGAGAACUGCAAAAAGUUUUAUGAGCAGUUCUCUAAAAAUAUUAAGCUUGGAAUACAUGAAGACUCUCAAAAUCGGAAGAAGCUUUCCAAGCUGUUAAGAUACUACACAUCUGCUUCUGGUGAUGAGAUGGUUUCUCUCAAGGACUAUUGCACAAGGAUGAAGGAGAACCAGAAACACAUCUAUUACAUCACAGGUGAGACUAAGGACCAGGUGGCAAACUCGGCCUUCGUGGAGUGGCUGCGCAAGCACGGCCUGGAAGUGAUCUACAUGAUCGAGCCUAUUGAUGAGUACUGUGUCCAGCAAGACUUUGGUGUCAGUCACCAAAGAGGGCUUGGAACUUCCAGAAGAUGAAGAAGAGAAAAAGAAACAGGAGGAGAAAAAAACAAAGUUUGAAAACCUCUGCAAAAUCAUGAAGGACAUCCUUGAGAAAAAAGUAGAAAAGGUGGUUGUGUCAAACCAAUUGGUGACAUCCCCUUGCUGCAUUGUCACUAGCACAUAUGGCUGGACAGCAAACAUGGAAAGAAUCAUGAAGGCUCAAGCCCUAAGAGACAACUCAACAAUGGGUUACAUGGCGGCAAAGAAGCACCUGGAGAUCAACCCUGACCAUUCCAUCAUCGAGACCUUAAGGCAGAAGGCUGAAGCCGACAAGAAUGACAAGUCUGUGAAGGACCUGGUCAUCCUGCUCUAUGAGACCGCGCUCCUGUCUUCCGGCUUCAGUCUGGAAGACCCCCAGACCCACGCCAAUCGCAUCUACAGGAUGAUCAAACUCGGUCUAGGUAUUGAUGAAGAUGACCCCACUGCUGACGACAGCGAUGCUACUGUCACUGAAGAGAUGCCGCCCCUCGAAGGGGAUGAUGACACAUCACGCAUGGAAGAAGUAGACUGAGCUCUGCCUGAAGGGUGGCUUGUACACGUGUUAAAUAUUUUACCUUCAUUCCCUUCCAUAUAUUUUCAAGGAUUUUUUUAUUUUUGUGUUAGUUUGAAAACGUAUGGCAUGACAAUACGUACUUAAAAGAAAGAUAAGAUUUCUUUCAACUUUUAAGUGUCUGCUACUGUGAUACCUUAGGCACUAAAGCUGAGCUAGUUUUUCCUUUCUCGUUUCAUGUUGGGUUUUUUUAACUGAUGGAGACAUAGCGUUUUGUUGUAAAAUGUCUGACCUAAAUGUUAUGUUAACUUUGUGAUCUAGGUAGUUAUAAAGCGGAUUCCCUAGUGUACCAAAUUUUUUGUCAUUGAAGUUCUGAGCUGCACCCCUGUUGAAAAGAAUAUCGCUUAAAACAACUUGAAUCUCCUAGGACCGCUGUAACCCUUCCACCCCUGUAGUUGUUAACUGCAUGUACCCAACCCUAGAAAAUAGUAUAUUAAGCAGAACCAACUUGAUGGGAGUAACUAUCCAUAGGGUUUGUGUUCCAAAGAAAAGUGUUCUUUAGAGUCGCAGAAUUGUAAGCCUGCCUCUCAAAGGCACUUGGAAAGGAACCAGAGCAAGUUUUGUGAAUGGAAACAUUGUGCCCAGGUCACAUUUUGCUUUAAAAGGUGACAAAUACAGAUGUAUGAAAAAAAAAAA